CUACAGAGCUCUGCCCCAGAACCUCAGACCUCCUCUAGGCUGGUCCCUACACCUGGUGAGCCAGGUUGUGGCAGGCCCCUUGUCAUAAUAAGCCUUACAAGGCAGGUGGAGGACAAUGUGUAUCCCCUUCAUCAGGGCAAUUCCUGGAAUACUCAGCUUUCUGGAAUUCACUGGUCCCAGGCCUGUGCUAUCCCCUGUGCUAUCCCAAGCAGGGCUAUACAUGGAAAGCAAGAGUUGAGGGGACGAACAGCAGACUUCAGGCCUGGGGAGCCUCGAUGGAUGAUGCCCAAACUCCUCUGGAUACUGAACUGGGAGUUCCAUAACAAAGAGAGCCAAAGACGGACACAGAGGCUAAUGGUCAGAACGGGGAGCUUAGGUUUCUUUGGUACUUAAGCUCCUCAAGAUCACGAUACACCUCUAGCUGAGGGUGCAGAAUGUGCUACUGUCACAGUGCCAUCUGGUGGAAAGACAAGAUCUGUCCUUAGGCAGAGUCCAGCCUGGUGGUGCGCCCAGUGGGCACGAGAAACUCUCUCCACCUUCUGCCAACUUGGCCAUGAGCUGCAGACGUCCACCUGCCGAUCCCAGAUCCAGCUCCUGUUCCCCAUCCGGAAAAGUGAUAUCUGUGCCACCAUCCAGUCGCUCAGUCACAUGGCCAACUCUCAUAGGUCGACCAGCAAGCUCAAAACCAUUCAGCUGUUCCAAGGCCCUCCGGGCACACUCGGAGUCUGAGAACUACAAGAAACACAGGCCAUUAUCAGUCACUUACUGGCCACAGAUAUGCUCUCCAACCCCCACUACCACUGCCUAGUCCUGCUAUCCCAGGAAAACUGCAUGCUCGCUGUGGCACAAAUUAUUGUCUUAGGGAGUGCGACCUAAGAGCCUCAUCCCUCCAAAAUGAUCAUGUGACAAGAACCUUUUCCAACGGACUCAAUGGCAAUCUUCCAGCUCCACUAAGAACCCAACAAAGGCAAAAAGUCUGUUAUCUUUAGGGUGGCCUACACUUAUAAGCUGCUUCACAAGUGAGCAUAUAAAUGGAAGUACGACAGGCUGAGAGUCAAGAUUCCUGGGCUUUUAUUUACACCCUUAGGACUGGUCAGUUUCAAUUCUCAGUCAAAAAGUAGGAAUCUGAAACCUCAGAGUCCAGUGGUAGGAGGGAGUGCACCCUGGAAUGGAGAGCAAGACCGCACCCCACCCCUAUGCCUAUACCAGUGCUGUUGAUCACAGAGAGCUCUACUGUCGUCCAGCAGCACCAGAGCAGCCGCGUAUAGAGAAGAUUCCAGACUGCUGUUGAAGUAUCAAGGGUGUUGACGAGAAAAGCAGCAACACAAGAGCAAAAAGGCCUCACAAAAGCUUUUCUGCAUCCGAGUCACACAAGGAGUUACAAGAGGUUCUUGCCACCAUGAACACCAGAGCUGGCUUUGUUUCCUCUGGUAGCCCCUGCCCUAGGGCCUGGCACAUGGUACUGACAAUUCUUAAGCAGGUGGUAUAGGUGGCCUGCCUUCACUGGAUACUUCUGAAGUGAUCAAUACCCCUGGUCAAACACAACCUACCUCCCCUCUGCCCUGUAGGCAACUGUGGGGGUGUAUGCUGCCUGGACUGAACCCAGAAAAUAUCAGCUUCUAUAAGACACUGUGGCUGGCAGCCAGUCCUCAGCCUGGAGUCACACAGGGCUAGAAGAACCAGUUAUGGGAACUAGAAGCAAUUCUCUUGGGAGUGUUAGGAAAAGCUCAGGAACACAGGACAGUCAAGCUUCAAUGAAACGCAACCCAAAGGAAUUCUUCAUAUUCAACAUUCACUUUGCGCUCUGAAAGAUAACAGCCUUCUUCAUCUCCUCAAAACCUUUCAUGGAAUCAUAAUUUCUGUAGAAAUCUGCAUAUGCCUUCUUUCUUGGUUCAGCCACAGCAAACUUAUAAAAAGCUGCAACCCGCAGGGAUACAGCGAAGGCUCCAACGAUAUGAAAUCGCAGACACUUGGCCAGAAGGCCUCGCAUCUGAGGUUUCAUUAAAGCACUUGAAGUCAUGGUAGUUAUUCUCCUCAAACCUAACGUCCUUCCUAAGAGAAUUAAAAGUAUUUCUUUAUUUAAAUAAUCUCUACACUCACCGUGGGGCUAGAAUUUACAAUUCCAAAGUCAAGAGUGGUACUCUCUUCAACUGAGCCAGCCAGGUGCCAAGUCAUACAGCUAGCUCCUUUUUAUUUUUUAAAAUCUGCUUUUUCCUCACCAAACGAAAUGCUUCUGAUUUCAAUAACUGCUCUUUGUUGACUGCUAGUAUAGGGUAGGAGUAACUUAACACAUGCACAAGAACUUUCACUUAAGUUGACAGUUCUUGUGACACCACCUACAAAGAAAACUUUUCACUCAGGUACUCAGAAAUGAAUGGAUCUAUUUAAAGCACCAACAUAUAUAACAUGAGCACAUUUUGAAACUUGAAAUCUCACUGGGUUUGGCAUAUCUUUUCAGACACCCUAGAAGCAGUAAAGUCCCAAAUACUAUGUAUUUUCAAAUUGGUAGUUUUCAAACUCUUCCUAUGUCCUAAAUUACGGGUCAAAGUCCAUCAACCCCACCCAUUAAAACACUAUAGAGCCUACUCCCCCCGCCCCCCCGGCUCCAAAAACUCCUUUGUGGGGGGCCCACAAUGAACGCAAGUGCCUGGACUUUGUCAUCGCACAGUCAAGACCCCAGCAAGCACUUAGGCCUCACUGCUAAAGGGACAAAGGACAGUAAGAACCACUGUCCGCUCAGUUCAGGCAAAAUUCACCACACGCUGAGUCCCACAGGGUGAUGCGUCUAGGCAGCUGGGCAGAAACAUCUCCAAACUGAAGGCAGCUUAAUUUGGAACAGGAACAGUGAGAAAGGUAAAACAAUCCCCGUGCUGUGCAACAAGCCAAAGCUACACUUUUAAAAAGUGUUCCUGUAAGUAAUGAUUGGCAGCAUCUCUGCGAGGGCCAAUGUCCCAAUGCUAAAACCUUCUAUGUGGCCUAACUAUACUGUACCGCCAAAGAACGUGCGGUCGAAAAACGGGACCAGGGAAAAGCCCAGAGGCCAACACAGUGAACACGAGCCUUCCAGAGACUGUGAAGACUGAGUAAUCUCUCGCAGAGUUCCCUAACCUCUCUGAGUGGUGGCACUAAGAGCUGAAAACCGGUCCUACGAGCCCUCUCAAACCGCGGUGGGUCGACGCUCCCUGCACCCCCGGGCCCCGGUACCGGCGACCCCGAAAGUCAGGGCUGGGACCUGGAAAGAGCGGUCACUGGGAUCCUUGGGACAUCAUCUCUAGGAGAGAGAGCCAAGAGGGUACCGAUCCCUAAAAUCAUGCCAGCGGGCUACAGUUCGCUACGCUGAGGUGGCGAACACUCCCAGACCGAAGUAAGCAAAAAUAUUUUGUUAAAAGUUUGCCUGAUUCUGCUCUUGACGCCAUUUUCUGCCUGUGACGUCAAGGGGAGGCGCCGUGCGGCAACGUCACGCAUUGGUGACGUCGCGGGGGACCGGGUUUCGGGGUUUCUCACCAGUUCCGGGUCCCCGCAGGGGGGUCCCCGGUUUCCGCCGUUCCUUUGGGUGUGUUGAGGGCGCGAAGCACGGCUAUUUUCCAGAGUCUCAGCAGUAGAAGAAGCACUGCAGCCCGAGCUGCUAGUCUUCCCGCAAAAUGGCGGCAGCUCCGCGGUCUUCCAGAACUUUCCCCAAUCUGCGCAGGCGCCGAGACAUUCAGGCGGUGGAACUAAUCUCCCUGGUUUCGCGGCAACAGUCCAAAGUACAGAUUUUCAUUGGCCAAAACCCUAAGCAUGGGUGGAGCCAAACUCAAAUGUCUCUUAGCAACCAUUAAGUUCCCCUCGAUUGGCUAACCUCUCGGAGAGUGGAAGCGUCCUAAUAGCGGCCGCCCAUCGCUCUCUCAUUGGUUAGAUGACUUGCGGAAGGCGGAGAAGGCGGGCGAAGAACCAGCAAGGACCCUCCUGCCUACUCCCGAGCUCCAGGUGACAAGGCCAACGCCGUGGGCGGAGCCAACGAGGAGGUACAAUGGACUUCUUUGCUACUCUCUACUCUUGAUUUCCCAAAAGGGUCACGUGUCGUACUCAUCCGCGACAGCUUCACGGCGAGCACUUGCAUUUGUUUCACGCCGCCCGGAAGGAUGUUGGGCUGGACUUUCCCCUUCUGAGCGUGCUGGCCACGCAGCCCUCCCAACUAUCUCCUCUUACCCUCUGUGCUUGGGCCCGGGAAAACACAAGUGUUGUCACGUUUGUCUAAUUUCACACUCUCUUGUGGUUAUUGCCUGGUUCCACAGCUACACACUUCCCAAUUUUUCGUGUAUGUGCUGCCGAAGCGAGCACAGCUACACACCUCGCACUGCAAAAGUAAACCUGGAAGUUUCUCAGGUGACUCCUUGGGUACAGCAAUACUCAGUCCUCUAACCAGAAAGAGAAGGAACUGAUGUCCACUCUCACGUUCCAAGGGGAUCCAGAAUCCUCACACUUCAGUUGCCCAAUAUGUUAGCUGACAGAAACAUAACUGGUUAGAUCAUUGAGAGAGCCACAGGGUUAGAGGAUCUGUGUUCCAGUCUUGAUUUGAAUAUUAUAUAUCUUUGUGUCAGUUUCAAAUCCUCCUGUAUAAAAUGGAGAAUUGGCACUCUUACAACUUCAAACUCUAACCUUGUGACUUUAUUCAAAUAAAAUAGGUGGCUUCUUGUUGGAGGUGCCUGAAUGGCUUCCAGUUUUCCUCCCAAGAGGUAGCUGGCAGUGCAGCAGCUCAGGAAAGCGGAAGGGAAGCUGGCUUCACUCACUACUCCCAUCUUUCUCCACGAGGGCAAUCUUUUCUCCCCAGAGAAAAGCCUAAUCACAGAUCUUAAUGGACCUCUUUGCAGCUGGUCCCAAAGACCUACACCCAGGAGUCCAAGAGUGGCCAUUAAGCUUCCUAUAUACAGAACAAAGAUCCUUUGGGUCUUGAAUAAAAGCACAGAUCUGAAUAUGCCUAGGUUUAAGUAAGGUGUGAGAAAGCAAAGGCGCAGGGCAGCAGAGUUGGAGCAGGAAAAGGCUGAUAACUUCACUUUAUUUGUAUUUCCUCCCACACAAAACCAUCAAAACAGAAACAGAGAUGGGCAGGGAAAGGGAUGAAAAUGUGUUUAAUCCACAUGUUCUCAGGGCUAUUCCAGGGAGUACUUGAGGCUGAGUGCCUGUUGGAGUAGCUUCAGAUCCAGCACAAAUUCCUCCCUCCCUGGCCUGGAGUCUUUACAGGUUGGUGGCCUGAGCCCUGCAAUUAAUUCUCAUCCUUUGCCCACCUUGCUGUAAGGCAGGAAAGCAGACUGAAAUGCUCCGCUCUGAUGGGCAAAGGGGAAUCACAGCCCACAGAUGUACUGCACUCUCUGUGCUUCAGGAGCGGAACUUUAAGCUGCUUCCAAGGCUCUGAACAUUGUAGGCAGGGCUAGAGGCCAAUGGUGUAUGAGCGGCCUGUGGGGUUAUGAAUAGCAGAACAGACUGGUGCUGUCACAGCCCACUCAUACCACACCUUCUUGGAAUUGCUGCAUCGCCAGAAACGCACACAGAUGGUCUGGCCUUCACGUACUGUAAUGGGCUGCUGCAAGAAGAAAGACAGAGAAGUUUAAGGUAGAACUAACGAACUGUAUAUGGCAAUAUACUACUGAGCUAAGUGUGGAGAGAAAAGGAUAAAACCUGACAUUCCAAUCCUCAUGAAGUUUAUUUGAAGUCUUUCAGAAUGAAUAAUCAGAACUUCACAAUCAGACAUUGAACAGAAAAUCAAAAGUGUGAUGAGGGCCAUGAACAUGCAGAGGAUAUGCACUACAAGAGCACCUAUGAGACGGAACUCAAACCUAGUUCUGUUGGUCAGGGAAAGUUACCAGACAAGAGGAAUGUUUAAGGGGACCAGGAAGGUAAGUUAAAUGGGUGAAGAGAUGAACAAAGAACUUUCCAGGCAAAGGAGAAAAGUGUGAAAACCUGAGGCAGGAAAGAAGACUGUAUUAGAAUCCUGAUGAGUACUGAGUAAUGUACAGAUAUGCUGAAUUAUUAUGUUGUAUACCUGAAACUAACAGAACACUGUUCAUUAUAGUUCAAUUAAAAAAAAAAAAAAAAAAAAAAAAGGUCCA
Molecule: long non-coding RNA, 6086 nt
Organism: Canis lupus familiaris (dog)
Lineage: Eukaryota; Metazoa; Chordata; Mammalia; Carnivora; Canidae
Exons: 3
Source: RefSeq, a predicted model, not a curated record